RNAcentral lists this ribosomal RNA (330 nucleotides) under uncultured bacterium. RNAcentral describes it as "bacterial SSU rRNA". It matches the Rfam family "Bacterial small subunit ribosomal RNA", at positions 568 to 898 of the family's 1533-position model. The record is from RNAcentral.
UGCGCAGGCGGCUUGUCAAGUCGUGUGUGAAAUACCCGGGCUUAACCCGGGGGGUGCAUACGAAACUGGCGAGCUUGAGUGCAGGAGAGGGGAGCGGAAUUCCUAGUGUAGCGGUGAAAUGCGUAGAUAUUAGGAGGAACACCAGUGGCGAAGGCGGCUCUCUGGACUGCAACUGACGCUGAGGCACGAAAGCGUGGGGAGCAAACAGGAUUAGAUACCCUGGUAGUCCACGCUGUAAACGAUGGAUACUAGGUGUAGGGGGUGUAUGCCCUCUGUGCCGGAGCUAACGCAAUAAGUAUCCCGCCUGGGGAGUACGGCCGCAAGGUUGAA